GGUCCGUUCGUCUAGGGGUUAGGACGUCACCCUUUCACGGUGGAGACACGGGUUCGAUUCCCGUACGGACUACAA
Molecule: transfer RNA, 75 nt
Filed under: Crocinitomicaceae bacterium
Lineage: Bacteria; Pseudomonadati; Bacteroidota; Flavobacteriia; Flavobacteriales; Crocinitomicaceae
Description: tRNA-Glu
Rfam family: tRNA
About the family: Transfer RNA (tRNA) molecules are approximately 80 nucleotides in length. Their secondary structure includes four short double-helical elements and three loops (D, anti-codon, and T loops).
Source: RNAcentral